RNAcentral lists this ribosomal RNA (449 nucleotides) under uncultured bacterium. RNAcentral describes it as "partial 16S ribosomal RNA". It matches the Rfam family "Bacterial small subunit ribosomal RNA", at positions 29 to 523 of the family's 1533-position model. The record is from RNAcentral.
AACGAACGCUGGCGGCAGGCCUAACACAUGCAAGUCGAACGCCCUAGCAAUAGGGAGUGGCAGACGGGUGAGUAACGCGUGGGAACGUGCCCUUCAGUUCGGGAUAAGCCGAGGAAACUUAGUCUAAUACCGGAUACGUGCGAGAGCAGAAAGAUUUAUCGCUGAAGGAUCGGCCCGCGUCCGAUUAGCUAGUUGGUGAGGUAACGGCUCACCAAGGCGACGAUCGGUAGCUGGUCUGAGAGGAUGAUCAGCCACACUGGGACUGAGACACGGCCCAGACUCCUACGGGAGGCAGCAGUGGGGAAUAUUGGACAAUGGGCGCAAGCCUGAUCCAGCCAUGCCGCGUGAGUGAUGAAGGCCCUAGGGUUGUAAAGCUCUUUCGCCAGGGACGAUAAUGACGGUACCUGGAUAAGAAGCCCCGGCUAACUUCGUGCCAGCCGCCGCCGUAA